AUUAAGUAUCGGGAAAUGGGACGGGGCUCAAGUAAACUUUCGGGCGAGCAGAUAAAGGAAUUGACAGAAAUUACCUAUUUUGACAAAAAAGAAGUUCAACAAUGGUAUGUAUUCCAUUUACUUACUUUCCUCUUUCGGACGUUAACCUCUCUCUAUCUAUCUAUCUUUCUUUCUGUCUAUCUCUCUCUUGCUCUCUGGCUCUCUCUUGCGCUCUCUCUCUCUCUCUUUCUCUCUCCCUUUUUUCUUUCUUUCAUGCUUUCUUCCCCUCACUCUCUUUAUAUAUAAUCUACUUCCUUUUCUGACCACUUUUUUUUAAUAGUUUACUAUGUGUGUUCUACGUCAGGAUAAAUAUUUCCGGCCUAGGGCUAAAAAAGAGUUUCGUAUUAUUGAUUCAUUGAUCUAGCGGCAUCUAAAAAAUGCGAUAAAGACGCCCUUUUGUAUCGAAUUCAUUUGAAAUAUAGAUAAUAGAGGCAAUUCGGUUUUAACCUUUCGAUUCGAAAAUUAUUCAGAUGCAUCUAGUUUUGAUUUAAGAAACUUUUUUCCUCUUUCAAAAGCCCCGAAUCGGUUAGAAGAAAUCACUUAAAUAGGAUAAUUUUCAAGUUAAGUGAAGAGGAAAAGUCGAAUUAGGCCUAUUGGAAAAGUUUUACGCUAAUGCUGCAUUUGUUGCUCUACAGGCAUAAAGAUUUUCUCAAGGAUUGUCCAAACGGAUCUCUAAGAAGAGACCAAUUCGAAGCAAUUUACCAACAGUUUUUUCCACACGGUGAUCCUUCAAAGUUCGCUCUAGCUGUCUUUAACGUCUUUGACCAAAAUAAAGACGGUGUUAUUGAGUUUAAAGAAUUCUUACAUGCGCUUAGCGUCACAUCUCGAGGAACUCUUGAUGAGAAAUUGGACUGGGCAUUUAGUUUGUACGAUUUGGACGAUGAUGGGUAUAUUGAUAGACUUGAGAUGAUAAGUGUUGUCGAAGCUAUACAUGCAAUGGUUGGUUCUUUCCUGCAAAUGCCUGAUGACGACGAUUCACCAGAGAAGAGGGUUGAUAAAAUAUUCGAUCAAAUGGAUAUGAAGAGAGAGUGGAGAAAUAAGUUCUCGGGUGGCGAAACUAACGUUGAGACUCGACUAAACUAUAAUGCGAUGAUUGAUGAUUGCUAAUGAAAUCAACCUGCUUUAUAAAAGGGAUACCAAAGCUAUUUGCAUAUAUUUGCAAAUCGAGAUGGUAAAUUGACGAAAGACGAAUUUCGGCAAGGUUCAAAAUGUGAUUCGUGGAUUGUUAACGCCCUUAGUACUCAGCUUUCACCUUAUCAACCGCCUCCAACUGCAGGUCAGGUACUCGCUCCAAAAUUGCAAGCGGAAGUCGCUAGGCAAACGAAAAAGUCCAAGAACCGUAAAUAGGUUAAUUAGAAGAAAUAAAGAAAGUAACUGCUCAUUUUAUCAAGUAGAAUUGAGAAUAACUAAUAAAGAAAGCAGACGGACUACUCAAGCAAACUGAACAGAAUGAAUAAAAGAUGGAAAAACGUUUGUCUUCAGUUGUUUUCUUUAAAACAUAAACAAAUAUUAAAAAGGGAGAAAAUUACAAAAGAACAAAGUGAACAAGUUGAAUAGCAAACGAAAAUCCGAUCAGUCCACAUGUAUAAUUUCUACUACUGUGCAUGUGAUAAUGUAGGUUAAUUUAUGCAUAAAUUUAUGACUUGAAAUUUGUUUCUUACUCGUAUUCUCUUCUUGGAAUACAAGAUAUAUACAAAAGAGAAAAGUCUGUUUGUACUGAAUAGCUGGCGGUGAAGAGACAAGAGAAUUAUCUAGAAAAAU
This 1800-nucleotide unclassified non-coding RNA is filed under the name Dimorphilus gyrociliatus. RNAcentral describes it as "dgyrCDS14251". The record is from RNAcentral. Lineage: Eukaryota; Metazoa; Annelida; Polychaeta; Dinophilidae.